Molecule: ribosomal RNA, 207 nt
Filed under: uncultured bacterium
Lineage: Bacteria
Description: partial 16S ribosomal RNA
Rfam family: Bacterial small subunit ribosomal RNA
Source: RNAcentral
UGCGCAGGCGGUUUGUUAAGACAGUCGUGAAAUCCCCGGGCUUAACCUGGGAACUGCGAUUGUGACUGGCAAGCUAGAGUACGGCAGAGGGGGGUGGAAUUCCUGGUGUAGCAGUGAAAUGCGUAGAGAUCAGGAGGAACACCGAUGGCGAAGGCAGCCCCCUGGGCUAGUACUGACGCUCAUGCACGAAAGCGUGGGGAGCAAACA